This 215-nucleotide long non-coding RNA is filed under the name Brassica napus (rape). RNAcentral's name for it is "long non-coding RNA (BNAP_LNC000697)". The record is from RNAcentral. Lineage: Eukaryota; Viridiplantae; Streptophyta; Magnoliopsida; Brassicales; Brassicaceae.
UGUAAGAGAGAAUACAUAUAUAGGAUGAGAUAAAAAGAAGAAGCAUGCUUGAACCAACAGAGAGUGGAUCCAAAUGUUGCUUUCCAGCUUUAUACAAACGUAUCACCCACAUUACUGCGACUGUUACAUAAAAUGAAGGAGAGAGAGAGAAAUAAUGUGUGAUGAUCAUCAUGAUAUAUCGAUGUCCAUGAUACAUUGAUGAUGAUGGCUCCGGU